AAAAGGAUCAGUCCCAACCAUACGGGACCCAGCAACUGCACCCGAGCCACAGUCUUUAGAUUUGGUUUUCGUCUCUCAAGGUUGCCUGUGGAGAUAAAACGGCCGUGCCCACUAGGUGAGAGAGUCAGCCCCGUGAACUGUCUCCGGCAGGAGGUCACCGGGACUGGCAGUUAUUUUACGGACUCCUUUAUGGCUGUCGCGGAGCAUCCAAAAGAGGCUGAAAGGUGAUGUUGCUGUCUGCACAUCGAAGCCAGGAGGGGAAACUCGGGUGAAGCGUUGUUUCAGUCUGUUAAUCUGUCUGUCAUGCAUGAUAUUUCCCAGAGGCAAUAUCUUAUGUAACACUGUUACAUGGAUGGAUGAUGCAUUUUGGGCCUACUGUAUGUUCUGGAU
Molecule: long non-coding RNA, 390 nt
Organism: Acanthopagrus latus (yellowfin seabream)
Lineage: Eukaryota; Metazoa; Chordata; Actinopteri; Spariformes; Sparidae
Exons: 3
Source: RefSeq, a predicted model, not a curated record